Molecule: long non-coding RNA, 480 nt
Organism: Notothenia coriiceps (black rockcod)
Lineage: Eukaryota; Metazoa; Chordata; Actinopteri; Perciformes; Nototheniidae
Exons: 3
Source: RefSeq, a predicted model, not a curated record
GUGACAACCGUAUGACCCUGACAAACAACAACAACAUUUUAAAAUAGUUUGUCCACUGUGGAAAAGAUAAACAACACUUGACCUGAACUCUACUCAGGCAUUUCCACUAUAUUCUACACUCAGUGUUUCUUUGUGUCUUUUAGGAACCCUCCUGUUCAGCUCCUCUAUUGGAACAAACACGGAAGCUUACGCAUCACGCCUUAUUGAAAACUGUCCCUUAUAACAGCUGCCAUACAAAAACCAGUACAAAAGGUGGAAAAGGCGCUCUGAGAGUUGACUCAGAUCCCAGUGAAAACUCUUCAAGCAUAACAGCGUGGGAAGAGGAAACAGCAUUGUGUUUAUCACAAAGUGCUUCUAGUGGCUGCACAGCAGCCAAUGAGGAUACACAGCCAGAUGUGAAAGGAGCUGAGUCAGCAGAGCCUCAGGAAGCAGAGCCGAUAACAGCCGAGAGGAAGAGAGAGCUGGAGCAUUACCUCAAAC